This 288-nucleotide long non-coding RNA is filed under the name Amphimedon queenslandica. RNAcentral's name for it is "uncharacterized LOC109592308". Lineage: Eukaryota; Metazoa; Porifera; Demospongiae; Haplosclerida; Niphatidae. The record is from RNAcentral.
AUAAAUUUUUGUCUCUCUUUUCUUUAGUUUUGUCACAUUCAUAAUUUUGUAUCAGAGUUAUAUGUUAAUUAUGAUUGCAGUACCUACUGUACUAAUGUGUGCGAGAGACUGAGCAAGCUACUUGCUAAGCAAGCAUUCCCCAGCUCUUAUCACACGAUAUCAUCAACCAACAUUAUUAGCACUGGAAACACUACUGACAAUGAUACUGGCAUUAGAAUCAACCAACACCACCACUACUGAUAAUGAUGAUACCAAUGAUGGUGAUACUAAUAGAAUGUGUACUAAAAA